CACGUAGGGCGCGAGCGUUGUCCGGAAUCAUUGGGCGUAAAGCGCGCGUAGGCGGUCAGGUAAGUCCGGUGUGAAAGUCAAAGGCUCGACCUUUGAAUGCCGCUGGAUACUGCUUGACUUGAGUCCGGAAGGGGCGAGUGGAAUUCCUGGUGUAGCGGUGAAAUGCGCAGAUAUCAGGAGGAACACCAAUGGCGAAGGCAGCUCGCUGGAACGGUACUGACGCUGAGGCGCGAAAGCGUGGGGAGCGAACAGG
Molecule: ribosomal RNA, 253 nt
Filed under: uncultured bacterium
Lineage: Bacteria
Description: partial 16S ribosomal RNA
Rfam family: Bacterial small subunit ribosomal RNA
Source: RNAcentral